RNAcentral lists this ribosomal RNA (440 nucleotides) under uncultured bacterium. Its description in RNAcentral is "partial 16S ribosomal RNA". It matches the Rfam family "Bacterial small subunit ribosomal RNA", at positions 338 to 795 of the family's 1533-position model. The record is from RNAcentral.
CCUACGGGAGGCAGCAGUGGGGAAUAUUGCACAAUGGGGGAAACCCUGAUGCAGCGACGCCGCGUGAGGGAAGAAGUAUUUCGGUAUGUAAAGCUUCAUCAGCAGGGAAGAUAAUGACGGUACCUGACUAAGAAGCCCCGGCUAACUACGUGCCAGCAGCCGCGGUAAUACGGAGGGGGCAAGCGUGAUCCGGAUGUACUGGGUGUAAGGGGUGCGUAGGUGGCAGGGCAAGUCAGAUGUGAAAGCCCGGGGCUCAACCCCGGUACUGCAGUUGAAACUGUCCGGCUGGAGUGCAGGAGAGGUAAGCGGAAUUCGUAGUGUAGCGGUGAAAUGCGUAGAUAUUAGGAGGAACACCAAUGGCGAAGGCAGCUUACUGGACUGUAACUGACACUGAGGCACGAAAGCGUGGGGAGCAAACAGGAUUAGAUACCCUUGUAGUC